RNAcentral lists this ribosomal RNA (166 nucleotides) under Lonchocarpus phaseolifolius. Its description in RNAcentral is "5.8S ribosomal RNA". It matches the Rfam family "5.8S ribosomal RNA". From Rfam's summary of the family: 5.8S ribosomal RNA (5.8S rRNA) is a component of the large subunit of the eukaryotic ribosome. Lineage: Eukaryota; Viridiplantae; Streptophyta; Magnoliopsida; Fabales; Fabaceae. RNAcentral also lists the same sequence under 32 other names. The record is from RNAcentral.
CACAAAAUGACUCUCGGCAACGGAUAUCUCGGCUCUUGCAUCGAUGAAGAACGUAGCGAAAUGCGAUACUUGGUGUGAAUUGCAGAAUCCCGUGAACCAUCGAGUCUUUGAACGCAAGUUGCGCCCGAAGCCAUUAGGCCGAGGGCACGCCUGCCUGGGUGUCACA